UGGAUAUUAGUUAAUAUUUAUAAUAAUUAAAUUGCAUUUAAUAGUAAUUUUAUAUAAUAUAUCUAA
RNAcentral lists this transfer RNA (66 nucleotides) under Bombus sibiricus. RNAcentral's name for it is "tRNA-Ala". Lineage: Eukaryota; Metazoa; Arthropoda; Insecta; Hymenoptera; Apidae. The record is from RNAcentral.